This is a long non-coding RNA of Dreissena polymorpha, 600 nucleotides long. RefSeq lists it as uncharacterized. The transcript has 3 exons. The record is from RefSeq and is a predicted model, not a curated record. NCBI's taxonomy places the organism in Eukaryota, Metazoa, Mollusca, Bivalvia, Myida, Dreissenidae.
ACGAUACCCGGUCGCUUGUACUAGUGAGGCGCCAUCUAGAACACCGUUUCCGACUUGAUUCCCAAUCAACGCCAUACGUAGCGUCUAAUAAGAGUCACGUGUGCAGACCGCUCAGCCAAUCAGAAACGCUGGAGAUUGUGUGGACCGCCUACCCACCGGAAGCAUGUGAUCUGCAGGACAAGGCGAGGUCACGAUGGAUUCGACCCGUGGUGGGCGGGAAGGAGGCCUAUGCGUUACUAGACGACGACAUCAUUCGUCAAACGGGCUUACGGCCAUGCCUCCAGUUGGUAAUCCAGAGUCGUCUGCGACGUGACGGCUUCAUCAUCCUGCCUUCUGACGUCAGAGACGGAGUCCAGCGCGUGACAAAUGAGGCUCAGGCGCUUGACCUUAUUGACAAGUUCAUAAAAGACAGACGCUGGAUUAAUAUCUUAUAACGCACCCAAGGUUUAAAGGCCUCGUUUCUGGAAUGUCUGGCCUCUACUGACAGUUUUCCACUCAGUGUAUUGGGCUGCCAUAUUAUAUCUUUUAUCUGACAUUUUGUCUCAGCCGAUUUAACAUUCGCUCAUUGAUAUUACUCUGUUGCAGUGAUUUUCAGUUGAU